GAUUAAGUGCCUGGCUCCAGUAUGUUUGUUUUUAAAUAUCUGAAGGUUAUUUGUACAGGAUGAGUGCACUCUGACUUUGUAAGCCUCCUGCUCAGACUGUGUGUGGCUCUGUUUCUCUUUGUUCUCCCCUCCUCACCCCAGCUUCUCAGAUGUAGCUCAGGCUGGCCUAGCCCUAGGCUGUUUUUGCCUCAGUAGCCUGAGUGCUGGUUACUGGCAUUGUCAAGCUAGCUUGUUGCUUAUUUGCCUAGUAGAAAUUUUGUUAUGGUAAACACAUGGUGAACACAAUCAUAAUCCAUAAAAAUAGCUGUUCAAAAUUGGUGUUUCUAUGUGGAGCAGCAGUGGCACACAACACAGAAACCUGGCUUGGAAAAAAAUAAAAAUAAAUAAAUGCAAAAAAAAAAAAAGCGUUUCUAAGGGUUUUGCCAGAACAAUUAAUUUGCAAAAUAGAACAGUGUAGAGGUUUUUAAUUUUGUUUGCUUUGUUUUUGUUUUUCCAGGGGCAUUUCUCACACUGCCACCAGUUAAGGGGAGUCACUAACUUUAAUUAGGGAAGUCGAUUUCUUUCCUGUGAACUGAAGUGUUUGAGGUGUGUGUGUUCAGUUUGCUAAUGCUCCUCCUCUCUGCUUGUCAGCAACAGGUGUGCCAACUGGCAUACUUAAUGGAGCAAGUAAGGGUCUCCCGGUGUAGCCCUGCCUGUCCUGGAACUCACUAUGUUGACCAGACUGUCCUGGAAUUUACAGGAAUUCACCUGCCUCUAUCUCCCCCUGGAAUUAAAGGCCUGUGCCAACAUACCUGGCUGCACUGUCUUUUUAAUUUAUGAUUUAUUCCAGAGCUUCUCUGUUGACAAAGUAUUACCUGUGGUGAGAUAGAUUUUUCCACUUCAUUUUCUUCUAGAACUUCAUGAUUAUUUAAAAGUAAUCUUGUGUGUAUGAUGUGUGCGCAUGCACUUGUGUCUGCUUAUGUAUGUGUGUGCUCUUCCUUGGCUUCUGUAUGGACUUUAGAGUAGAUGCUCAGGUGACUGUCCUUGUUUCUGACUUGGUUUGUGCCAGGAUGCCUUAGUUACUUUGCUUUUAUUCCCUGCCUACGUGAGCUAGGAGCUUCUGGGUGUUGUGUCUUUCUGAGAGAGCUCUUGGAUGACAGACACUUACGCUGUCAUGGCUGCUUCUGGGCUUUGAACUCCGGGCCUUCCAUUUCUCUAGCUCUGCUUUGUUUUUCAAGACAGUGUUUCUGUCUAACAGUGUUGGGUGUUCUGGGACUGACCUUGAAUUUAGAGAUAUCCCUCUGCCUUUGCCGUCCCUAAAACUGAGAUUAAAGGUAUACACUACCACUGCCAGCCUAAGUAUCUUUUAAUUGACUUUCAAAAUCGAUAAAUUAUGUGUGUGUCUUUACAGAUACAGGAAUGCAUCUUUUUGCAGAGAGGGUCUCAUUAGCAUGGAGCUGAGCAGUUGGACUGACUGACUGGCCAGUAAACCCUGGGGAUCAAGCAACCCCCAGUACAGAGAGGACAAGUGCGACCACUACCAUCAUCAGCCUUUGAUGUAGGCCAGGGGUGGAGCAAAGGUCCUCAGAGUUGCACAGUGUUGUAGGGCCAUACACUACAUUAAAUAGUAGGUAAGAGUUUUACAAUGCUGCUAUGUACUGUUUAAUUAAAAUACCCAUGACUUGGUCUCACAGUUGUGUUAGCUAACGUGUGGUUUUGCAGAUGAACAUGAGAUUCUUUUGCUUAAAACAGUAGUCUUUGUUUAGAAUUAUAUACAGUAAAUUUAAAUUUGAGGAAUUUUUAACUCAUAUACUUAACGUGUCGUAAAGAGCGUACAAACAAAACGUGCACUUCUUCUAGACUCCUAAAAUGUACUGUUUUUAGGAAAUGUUGGGAAAACUCACAGUUCCUAUGAUCAUUCAAUAAGUUGCCAUUUUCCUGUUUUCUGAGUAUUGAUAGUAAGAGGGAUAAAUUAUGAGAGAGCAUAAGGCUAAAUUUUUUUUUGAACAUGUUGAUUAAAAAAGUAAGCCAGUUAGAAGCUGGAAAAGUAGGUUUCAAAAGAAAGUAUUUUACAGUAUUUGAAGCCAUUAUUAUUAUUAUUAUUAUUAUUAUUAUUUGUUUUUUUUCGAGACAGGGUUUCUCUGUAUAGCCCUGGCUGUCCUGGAACUCACUUUGUAGACCAGGCUGGCCUCGAACUCAGAAAUCCACCUGCCUCUGCCUCCCAAGUGCUGGGAUAAAAGGCCACCACUGCCUGGCCAUUAUUAUUUUGAUUGGUGGAAUUUUGAAAAGUUAUUUACUCAAUGUUUGGCCAGGAUGGGACCAAAUUUAUUGCAUAAUAAAUACAAAAAUAAUUUUAUUUGGGAACAUUAAAUUGAUAUACUUUUCCUACUUUCUAUAUACAUUUGUUAUUUCAUUCAAUUUUUUAAUGUUGAUUGUAGUAACAUAUUAAUUUUUUUGUUUUGUUUUGUUUUGUUUUGUUUUUUUUGGCUGGCCUUAAACUCACAAAGAUCCUCCUGCCUUUGCCUCCCAAGUGCUGGGUUCAAAGGUAGUGUGCCACCACACCCAGCUCCUAUUACUAAUAAUUACUAAUGACAUAAUUAAACUUUUUAAUCAUUUUUAUAUUGAAAGGAGUCUGGUUAUUGCCCAAAUACUUAUUGAACUUGUAGAGGCAUG
RNAcentral lists this long non-coding RNA (2652 nucleotides) under Mus musculus (house mouse). RNAcentral's name for it is "long non-coding RNA chr6:136521745-136524397". Lineage: Eukaryota; Metazoa; Chordata; Mammalia; Rodentia; Muridae. The record is from RNAcentral.